This 468-nucleotide ribosomal RNA is filed under the name uncultured bacterium. RNAcentral's name for it is "partial 16S ribosomal RNA". It matches the Rfam family "Bacterial small subunit ribosomal RNA", at positions 28 to 507 of the family's 1533-position model. The record is from RNAcentral.
GACGAACGCUGGCGGCGUGCUUAACACAUGCAAGUCGAACGGUGAAGCUCCAGCUUGCUGGAGUGGAUCAGUGGCGAACGGGUGAGUAACACGUGAGCAACCUGCCCCUGACUCUGGAAUAAGCGCUGGAAACGGCGUCUAAUACUGGAUAUGAGAAGGGUCCGCAUGGACACUUUCUGGAAAGUUUUUCGGUUGGGGAUGGGCUCGCGGCCUAUCAGCUUGUUGGUGAGGUAAUGGCUCACCAAGGCGACGACGGGUAGCUGGCCUGAGAGGGCGACCGGCCACACUGGGACUGAGACACGGCCCAGACUCCUACGGGAGGCAGCAGUGGGGAAUAUUGCACAAUGGGCGAAAGCCUGAUGCAGCGACGCCGCGUGAGGGAUGACGGCCUUCGGGUUGUAAACCUCUUUCAGCAGGGAAGAAGCGAAAGUGACGGUACCUGCAGAAGAAGCACCGGCUAACUACGUG